AACGAACGCUGGCGGCAUGCCUAACACAUGCAAGUCGAACGCGUGUAGCAAUACACGAGUGGCGGACGGGUGAGUAACGCGUGGGAACCUGCCCAAUGGUAGGGAAUAACUGCGGGAAACUGCAGCUAAUACCCUAUGCUCCCUACGGGGGAAAGAUUUAUCGCCAUUGGAGGGGCCCGCGUCGGAUUAGCUAGUUGGCGGGUAACGCCCACAAGGCUACGAUCCGUAGCUGGUCUGAUAGGAUGAUCAGCCACACUGGGACUGAGAUACGGCCCAGACUCCUACGGGAGGCAGCAGUGGGGAAUAUUGGACAAUGGGGGAAACCCUGAUCCAGCAAUGCCGCGUGAGUGAAGAAGGCCUUAGGGUUGUAAAGCUCUUUCGGCGGGACGAUGGUGACGGUACCCGCAGAAGAAGCCCCGGCUAACUUCGU
This 430-nucleotide ribosomal RNA is filed under the name uncultured bacterium. RNAcentral's name for it is "bacterial SSU rRNA". It matches the Rfam family "Bacterial small subunit ribosomal RNA", at positions 29 to 506 of the family's 1533-position model. The record is from RNAcentral.